GAUGAACGCUGGCGGCGCGCCUAACACAUGCAAGUCGAACGGUUAAAGCACCUUUUAGGUGUGUAUAAAGUGGCGAACGGCUGAGUAACACGUGGGCAACCUGCCCUCCUCUUGGGGAUAGCCUCGGGAAACCGAGGAUAAUACCCGAUACUUCAAUGUGGCCGCAUGACGACAUUGAGAAAGCUUUUGCGGAGAAGGAUGGGCCCGCGGCCUGUUAGCUUGUUGGUGGGGUAGAGGCCUACCAAGGCAAUGAUGGGUAGCUGGGUUGAGAGACCGACCAGCCAGAUUGGGACUGAGACACGGCCCAGACUCCUACGGGAGGCAGCAGUGGGGAAUCUUGCACAAUGGGCGAAAGCCUGAUGCAGCGACGCCGCGUGCGGGACGAAGGCCUUCGGGUUGUAAACCGCUUUUCAGUAGGG
RNAcentral lists this ribosomal RNA (419 nucleotides) under Lancefieldella rimae. RNAcentral describes it as "bacterial SSU rRNA". It matches the Rfam family "Bacterial small subunit ribosomal RNA", at positions 28 to 445 of the family's 1533-position model. Lineage: Bacteria; Bacillati; Actinomycetota; Coriobacteriia; Coriobacteriales; Atopobiaceae. The record is from RNAcentral.